GUUUUGGCUUGUUAAUAUCAAGUUUAGCGUUUUUUUAAAUUAUAUACAGUAAACAUAAUAAAUACAAAUUGUAUAAAUAUGAUAAACAAAAUUAUUCGCGUGUUUAGAAGUAUAUACAGUAAAUACCUUAGCUUAUAGUAUGAAGAAUUUGGAAAAACAGUUAUUUAUGUAAAAUAUAAUCAAAUAAUAGAAAAAUACGUUCAUCCGAUAGAAAUUUUGGAAGUUGUC
Molecule: non-coding RNA, 228 nt
Organism: Cinara cedri
Lineage: Eukaryota; Metazoa; Arthropoda; Insecta; Hemiptera; Aphididae
Source: the annotation of a GenBank genome assembly